This 497-nucleotide ribosomal RNA is filed under the name uncultured bacterium. Its description in RNAcentral is "partial 16S ribosomal RNA". It matches the Rfam family "Bacterial small subunit ribosomal RNA", at positions 28 to 507 of the family's 1533-position model. The record is from RNAcentral.
GACGAACGCUGGCGGCGUGCCUAAUACAUGCAAGUUGAGCGCUGAAGGUUGGUACUUGUACCAACUGGAUGAGCAGCGAACGGGUGAGUAACGCGUGGGGAAUCUGCCUUUGAGCGGGGGACAACAUUUGGAAACGAAUGCUAAUACCGCAUAAAAACUUUAAACACAAGUUUUAAGUUUGAAAGAUGCAAUUACAUCACUCAAAGAUGAUCCCGCGUUGUAUUAGCUAGUUGGUGAGGUAAAGGCUCACCAAGGCGAUGAUACAUAGCCGACCUGAGAGGGUGAUCGGCCACAUUGGGACUGGGACACGGCCCAAACUCCUACGGGAGGCAGCAGUAGGGAAUCUUCGGCAAUGGACGAAAGUCUGACCGAGCAACGCCGCGUGAGUGAAGAAGGUUUUCGGAUCGUAAAACUCUGUUGGUAGAGAAGAACGUUGGUGAGAGUGGAAAGCUCAUCAAGUGACGGUAACUACCCAGAAAGGGACGGCUAACUACGUG